Molecule: ribosomal RNA, 391 nt
Filed under: uncultured bacterium
Lineage: Bacteria
Description: bacterial SSU rRNA
Rfam family: Bacterial small subunit ribosomal RNA
Source: RNAcentral
GACGAACGCUGGCGGCGUGCUUAACACAUGCAAGUCGAGCGGUAAGGCCCUUUCGGGGGUACACGAGCGGCGAACGGGUGAGUAACACGUGGGUGACCUGCCCUCAGCUCUGGGAUAAGCCUGGGAAACCGGGUCUAAUACCGGAUAUGACUCCAUGACGCAUGUUGUGGGGUGGAAAGCCUUGUGCGGCUGAGGAUGGGCCCGCGGCCUAUCAGCUUGUUGGUGGGGUGAUGGCCUACCAAGGCGACGACGGGUAGCCGGCCUGAGAGGGCGACCGGCCACACUGGGACUGAGACACGGCCCAGACUCCUACGGGAGGCAGCGGUGGGGAAUCUUGCGCAAUGGGCGAAAGCCUGACGCAGCGACGCCGCGUGAGGGAUGACGGCCUCGG